RNAcentral lists this small RNA (121 nucleotides) under Marmota monax (woodchuck). The record is from RNAcentral. Lineage: Eukaryota; Metazoa; Chordata; Mammalia; Rodentia; Sciuridae.
GCUGGGCAUGGUGAUGUGUGCCUGUAAUCCCAGUAGCUCGGGAGGCUGAGGCAGGAGGAUUAUGAGUUCAAAGCCAGCCUCAGCAAAAGCAAGGCAUUAAGAAACUCAGACCCUGUCUCUA